CUUCCCGGUUUGUCUGAAAAUGUUUCGGGCUCUCUCCAGGAAAACAUGAACUCAAGAAGCAAAAGGAGCCACUGUGUAGAUUUAUGAGCCCUCAUCCCGAGGAGACAGACUUGCGUCUUAAAAGUUAUCGAAAGCAAACGUGAUGCCCUGGGCGCCGAGGAAAAGUUGGAUGUUGUGCGGUGCCACGGCGGCCUGUGUGGCGGCUCUGUACGUGCCGUGUGUCCAGAGGAGCGUCCCCGGGGGAGACUCAGGAGAGCUGAUCACCACGGCUUGUGAGCUGGGGGUUGCUCAUCCUCCAGGAUACCCCGUCUUCACGCUCUUAGCCUGGCUGUCCAUGCGUCUUCUGCCCUCACUGUCUCCUGCCCACAGUGUCAACCUGAUGAGCAGCCUGCUGGGGGCGCUGGCCAGUAGUGCCCUCUGCCUUACUGUGUGCAGGUUAGAAGGCCCGGUUCCUGGAGCUGCUUUGGCUGGAGGGAUGUUCGCUGUGUCCAGACUGACCUGGCAGUGGUCUGUGGUGGCCGAGGUCUUCACCCUCAACAACCUUUGUGUUGGUUUGCUCUUCUUCUUGUCUGCCUGCUUCCAUUGUGCUGACAAUGGUCCCGAAAGAAGCAAAAUUGCACAUUUGGGGGCUUUUUGCUCUGGAUUUGGGCUCUGUAACCAGCACACCUUGGUUUUGUACAUGGUCGUAAUAAUUCCUUGGGUGCUACACCGUCUAUACGCUGAAAAGGAGUUGUCAUUGCACAGGCUUGUGUCUCUGGGGGUGUGUUUUGGAGCAGGUUUUUUGCCAUACAUCUACAUACCUGUGUCCUCCUUCCUAAACACUGCUCGCUGGAGCUGGGGAGACCAGACCUCUCUGUCUGGUCUCCUCACUCACCUGCUCAGGUCUGAGUAUGGCACCUUCAGUCUGGCAAAGACAUCAGGCUCUGUGAAUAUGACCAUGAUGCUUCAAGCCCAGCUGGAGCACUGCCUGGCAGACCUUUCACUUCCUGUGCUCGUGCUGGCAGGAAACGGGCUGCUUCUCUCCAUAAAGGACAAAAAAUGUGGCACUAUUUCGUUUCUUGUGACUGCCAUGCUGCUGGUUUACUCAUUGUUUUUUGCAUGGAGAGCCAACCUGGAUAUAGGUAGACCCCUGCUGCUGGGAGUGGUUGAGCGUUUUUGGCUACAAAGCGACGCUGCAGUGUGUGUGCUGGCAGGCCUUGGCCUGAGUCGGACCUGCAGUAUUUUAGAGAGGAAACUGGGCUGUGGGGCAUUAUGGAAGAUAACAGGCUGGCUCCUUACAAUCACUCUUGUGGCGCAUAUUGUGCACAUCAAUCACAAGGAAUGUGACCUUAGUACAAACAGUGUAGUGGAAAGGUUUGGCCAGGAGUUACUUUCCUCUGUCCCCAAAAACUCUAUCAUCUUGACCAGAGGAGAUCUCCCCGGAAAUUCUCUCCGCUACCUGCACUACUGUCAAGACGUGCGGCCAGACGUGCAGCUCGUGGAUCAGGAGAUGAUGACAUACAAAUGGUACAUUGCCAAACUGGGACAUCACCUUCAAGGAGUGCACUUUCCUGGCCGCUACUGGGACCCAGUUGACACUGAAGCAAAACAGACUUUCAGUUUAAAGAACUUUCUGUCCCGUAAUCCACAAAGAGAUGUGUUUGCCUGUAUUGGCUUGCCUGACGAAGACCAGAGCUGGGUGCAAAGCUUUUCCCGAUGGCCCUUUGGUGUGUGUGACUAUUUAGUGCCUGUUCACAAGAAUUUUCAUCCUGAAGAUUGGGCUCAGCGGACUCGCAACAUGUACAACUGGAGUGAGCCACACAACAGUUUCAGUGCUUCAUCUUGGGAGCGUGUUGCUAAUGAGGAGAUGUGGCAGGCCAGGAUGAAGACGGCUUUCUUUCUGUUUGACCUGGCAGAGAGGAUGAUGGGAGAGGCAAAAGCUCGCCUCUUUGAGCUCUCUUAUACUCUGUAUAAGGACAUAGUGGAGACUUAUUCUCAGUACCCUCCUAACUGGGACAAAAACUUGGCUCUGGCCUGUGAGAGGCUGCUUCGCUUAGGUCAUCAGGGCUACAGCUCAGACAGCCUGUUGACCUGCAGUGUGCAACACUUCCGCCUUUACUUACAGAAGGAGCCCAAGGAUCCACAGGCUGCUGCCAUACGCUCUGCCAUCACCCACCUGAGCAAGGAAAAGGACCGACUUCACCAGAGGCUAAGGAACACUACAUGAUAGCAUCUAUAGACCUAUGUAGACUCAGCGGUGAGCUGUGUCUAAAGACAUGACACUGUGAAUGUGCAGCCUUUCUCAGGAAAAAAGACUUCAAUGUUACACAGUUUACACUACUGCUGUCAGAAUAAUGUUUACAGUUUACUACAUAUAUGUUUUCUUAUAACUUUAAGGAUUUCCUGCCUGACCUCAUCUGAUUGUUUCCCUCCUACUCAAGCUGUACUGAUUUGUCCUCACUUAGUACAACUACGCUGAGGAAUGACCAAUUUGGAAGGCGAAACAAGGGAUUAAAUAAUCCCCUGUGGAUGUGAAUGAAAUGUAAAAUGUGCCAAUGCCAAGGAUCGUUUUUGAGUGUCAGUGGCAGCACAUCCUGCCUCUACCUAACCCCUCUGUUCCUCUCCUCUUUGCUGUCUCUGAGAGUCAGUUGCCCACCCUAAAUCACCGAGCUGCCGAGGAUUGUGGGAACCCAUGGAAUCGCCGUGACCAGGGGUGCAGGCAGGGAGCCACAGCAACGCUGGAAUGUGGGGCGUCUGAGGAGAUAAGAGCUGAGAGCCCAGCCAGAGAGAGGCAAGAGAUGGAGAGGAGCUGGAGGUGUGGGGUGGGGGGAACAGGAAGAGCACAAGUCUAUGAAUGGGAAUCAGAAACAACACCAUAAACAGCCACUGUGCAAGAGAGAGUGAGAUACAGAGUGGGGCACACUCUGGAGAUGGGAAGCCAGCCUUAUUCUUCUUUGCAUUUCAUUUACAUCCCUGGCCGUAUCGACCAAUCGGAUUGGGAGCAAAGCCCAUGGCUUAGGAGGGGAAUAAAAAGACAAAAUGCCUUUGCUGCUCUCAUCCCUUCCUGAUAAUACCCCUUCUGUUUUUCUUUUCUUUUUCUCUCCCGUCUAUAAGUAGAUACUGUCCGAAAUGCCAGCCCAAAACGACACCUCCGCUUGCUGUGUAUCUCCGAUAGACCAAGUGGGAGAAGGGGCUGAAAAGACAGCUUUAGGAGCUGGCCCUAUCUCCUCCACUCUCCCUGGCUGGAUGGAGGCUUGGAAAGGAGAGAGGGUGGAGCUCUGCAGUGUGUUGGUUAAUACAGUGUCAUAGACACUAUUCUGAACUAGCCACAAAGUCUUAUUUUCUGUAAAAGUUUGUCUCAUAAGUGCACAAUGCCCCUUUUCUAGGGCUUUGAUGGAAUACAUGCAUUCUUCUAGCACAUUUAGUGAAAGAGUGUCCCUUGUGCAUGGUGGGCAGAAUGCAAUAACUUGUCUGGAGUUAGUGUACUCACCAUCUCCAUCGUGUAGGUAGUGUAUGUUUAUUAAGCAGCCGGACAGAUAUGUGUUGUAGAAUUGGUGAUUAAAAUUGAAUCACGAUUUAAUUGCUGUGACAAUAUGCUAUUUUGGUAAAAUCAUUAUACUGUGAUUGACUGCUUCAUUGUUUAAUACACUAGUCACUCUAAAAACAACCCUUUUCCCGUCUCACUCCUCCAGCCUUUUUCAUGCCCUAAGUGAGUGACAGAUGAAUUUAACCAAUCACAGUGAAGUGUGACCUCUUAGAAGAACUAGAUGACUUCAGUGACAUCUUAAAGGCUGAAUACGAAGUUUUUAAAUCAUUAUGAUUGUGUGAUCUGGCUCUAAGUAUUCAUUUUUUAUCUUAUUGCUCCCCCAUAGUUGGUAACACCAUUGCAUUUGUAUGUUUCACUUCUUGUCAAAGGGAUUAAAAGUGAAUAGUACUUUUGUGUUGUUUUUACCUUGUCCUGUUUCUAAGGGUUAGACAUUUUGAAGUAGAGGUUUUGAGAAAGAAGAACUUCUCUAAAAGCAUUCAGAUUAAGAGAGCCCUUGACACCCCACAAACUGGUCAUUUGUAGAGUUUAUUGGGACCUGAAAUGUCAUUGUGCCCCUAAACAGCCUCAGUGGUCACAAAGUGGUCAUGUGUACAUCACGGCUGAGUUUAUUGUUGAGAGAGGAUGAAAACUGUACACAGAAGCAACUUAGUAGAACACAUUGGUGUGUCUUUAUGGUAAACAUGAAAUAACUGAGUUCUCCAGAGCGUAAACAGUUCCUGUUGUUAUCUUAUAUACACACAUUUGUUUAUUUGAUACAGCCCCUUUCCACCACGGCACUUGUGUAUAUCAAAGACGGCAGUGCAGCGCGUAAUUGAAAAUGUCUAGCGUGGAGAAAGGUCUCUCUCGGCUUUGACUGUGAAGAGGCAGAAAAAGCCCUGUGCUCUACUCUCUUCUUAGAUCUAUUUAAAUAAUUGAGGAGUAAACUGACAAAUUAGGUACCUUUAUAGGCGCCCCGGGGCUAUAUCUAGGGUGCUACAGUUUCACCAGUACAAGACAGCGCCACAAGGCACUGGAUAAUAUCUUGUGUGUGCUUUGAGAAGGAGGGGGUUGGGGUGCUAGUGGGCCAGGAGGGGUUUCGCCAAUCAAGCAGGCCACACUCGCUCCCCCAGGUUCUAAUUUUGUGCCACAUUAAAGAGCUCGGCCUCCAUUUAGGACACAGAGAGGCAUUUUCAUAAUUUGCAGGGUCUCCUCUAGCUCGGGGUGCCUUCUCUGCCUUUCCUCCUCACUCCGUGUCUGAACGGAGGGCCUGAGGAGGGAGACGGCUAAUUCACUUGCCUCCUUUUCAACCAACCAGCUUCAGUUCUGCAUAAUGUUGCUGCUAGGUGUGUAUAGCAGCUAAUAUUUAUCUCUUUAAUAAUUCCUUAUUAGACCCUCAUAUUAUUUGACUUUAUAAAAGCGAACAGUUCUCAUUGUCAGCUAUAGGGAAUCAUGUCAUCCACUCAUUGUUGAGACAUUAGCCCUAAUUUAUCCCUCUUAUUUCCUGAGAAGAGUUAAUGCCUCUGAUCUGUACCUAAUCUGUGGCCAAACAGCUAUGAUAUCUGCUGAGAUAAAACCUUUAGUCUCGUGUACACACUGUAUAAUGCAUAAUCCAGGUUAAAGUUGUUCAUUUCCUCUUGCUGACACCACCCAUUCAUCCACUAAGGCAUGCGUAAGCAUUGAUUCAUAUGUGAUUGGUCACAUAAUUCACAGUCUCAGGGGGCAUUUCAUUGCUGACAGACAAGCUAAUCUAAAAUCCUCCAAUUUACAAAUGAAAAUCCCACCAUCCAAUUGAGCUAAUAGAGAGACUUGAAUGGGAUAAUAAGAUGUGGUGUAAUACUGUGUAAAAGCCUGUAAUGUUGUGUUGGUGUGAGAAGCUCGUUGACUGGAUGUUUGACUGUUUGCAGUGAUUACCGGGGCCUGCGGGCCUGGCUGCAGCUUCAAGCCUGGGACAGAGAGCUCGUCUCUGGGCGAGGACAUACACAGGGACCUGAGGAGGCUGCAGCACCAGGAGAGUUUGGGUACUCUCUGCUCUUCUGUAUGCUCUUCUGUAUGCUCUUCUGUAUGCUCUUCUGUAUGCUCUUCUGUUUGCUCUUCUGUUUGUGCCUCUGUCUAUUCUUCUGUCUGUACUUCUGUCUCUUCUGUGUCAGUCCCUCCGUCAGUCCCUCUGUCUGUUGUCCUGCCUGCCUGUCUGUACUAUUGCAGUGCUUGCAGAUGUGCACAAACAAGGGGGGAUUAAAGCAAAACGAAUCUAAACAGACAAAUGGAAUUAGAGUGAUGGGUGUCGGUGGGCUGGUUCACACUGAUAAACAUAAUGAUGCUCUGUGUGUGCGCUCCUGUCUAGAGGAUUAUCAGUGGUUAGGUGUGUGCUGGGUAUGGCGCGCUCACUGCUUUUGGGUGUCUGUGUGUUUGCCUAUCUGUCUCUGUUUUUGUAAUUAUGUACAUGUUUAUUUGCUCUUGAAUCAGCUCUCUACUUGUGUGUGUGUGUGUGUGUGUGUAUGAUAAUAAAUAUGUUUUUCCAUAUAGCUUUGCAAAAACAAGUCCUUCUACCCCCUUUCUGUGCGCGGACAGGCUUCCGUUGGUAGGGCCAUUAGCAUCUUGCCAAUCAAAUGGCUGUUAAUAUUUGUGCACUUAGGACUGUAUACCAGCCAAUUAUUGACAUAGAAAAGAUAGCAGCAUGAGUUUGAAAUUAACAAUGUUUUAUUGUCCUGCAUGAUAAAGGAGACUGUUGAUAAAAGUCACGCAUGUUAUUCUAGUGCUUUUUGUUUAUUAUUUUAUUAUGGUUGGGGAAAUUUUUGUCCUGUUUCUGUACAAUUAUAACAUUUGAGUUGGUCAAACAAACAUAC
This is an RNA transcript of Boleophthalmus pectinirostris (great blue-spotted mudskipper), 6348 nucleotides long. It is a transcript of the gene named transmembrane protein 260, with no coding region annotated. The record is from RefSeq and is a predicted model, not a curated record. The transcript has 19 exons. NCBI's taxonomy places the organism in Eukaryota, Metazoa, Chordata, Actinopteri, Gobiiformes, Gobiidae.